GUGGGGAAUAUUGGACAAUGGGGGGAACCCUGAUCCAGCCAUGCCGCGUGUGUGAAGAAGGCCUUUUGGUUGUAAAGCACUUUAAGCGAGGAGGAGGCUACCGAGAUUAAUACUCUUGGAUAGUGGACGUUACUCGCAGAAUAAGCACCGGCUAACUCUGUGCCAGCAGCCGCGGUAAUACAGAGGGUGCAAGCGUUAAUCGGAUGUACUGUGCGUAAGGCGCGCGUAGGUGGCCAAUUAAGUCAAAUGUGAAAUCCCCGAGCUUAACUUGGGAAUUGCAUUGGAUACUGGUUGGCUAGAGUAUGGGAGAGGAUGGUAGAAUUCCAGGUGUAGCGGUGAAAUGCGUAGAGAUCUGGAGGAAUACCGAUGGCGAAGGCAGCCAUCUGGCCUAAUACUGACACUGAGGUGCGAAAGCAUGGGGAGCAAACAGGAUUAGAAACCCGUGUAGUCC
Molecule: ribosomal RNA, 451 nt
Filed under: uncultured bacterium
Lineage: Bacteria
Description: partial 16S ribosomal RNA
Rfam family: Bacterial small subunit ribosomal RNA
Source: RNAcentral